GACGAACGCUGGCGGCGUGCUUAACACAUGCAAGUCGAGCGGUAAGGCCCUUUCGGGGGUACACGAGCGGCGAACGGGUGAGUAACACGUGGGUGACCUGCCCUUAGCUCUGGGAUAAGCCUGGGAAACUGGGUCUAAUACCGGAUAUGACUCCAUGACGCAUGUUGUGGGGUGAAAGCCUUGUGCGGCUAGGGAUGGGCCCGCGGCCUAUCAGCUUGUUGGUGGGGUGAUGGCCUACCAAGGCGACGACGGGUAGCCGGCCUGAGAGGGCGACCGGCCACACUGGGACUGAGACACGGCCCAGACUCCUACGGGAGGCAGCAGUGGGGAAUCUUGCGCAAUGAGCGAAAG
This 351-nucleotide ribosomal RNA is filed under the name uncultured bacterium. RNAcentral's name for it is "bacterial SSU rRNA". It matches the Rfam family "Bacterial small subunit ribosomal RNA", at positions 28 to 381 of the family's 1533-position model. The record is from RNAcentral.